GCUAUAAUUAUAUUAUGGAAUUACAUUAAUCUAGUAUAUAAAAGACUGAUAACUACUGGAAUAAAACACUAUUGGUCAUUUAGAUCCUAUUAUAUGUACAAAACUGGAAUACCAUGACAUUAACUUAAUUGAAAGAACAAACAAAUCAUUUUCCAAUAGAAAAAUUCUAGUAUUUUUAUAGUCAUUAUCUUUAAUCAUUUUUAAUUAGCUGCGUAAUAUUAUAAUUUAAAAACGAUGACACUAAUUACGUUAUUGUGUUUUAUUGUUGCUGAGUGAUGACUACUCUAAAAGAUGAAUGGGGCAAAAACACAGACAAAUAACAAUGAAAUGAAACCGUAACAUCUGCUGUUAUUUUAAUGCUUGGAUGAUUUUUGAAAUGAAAUAUUUAAUGACGCAUCACUGGCUGCGGAUCUGAGUGCUGUGUAUGAUGUGAGCGAUGUUUUCAUGUACGAUGCGAGUGCCCGCUCACCAGGAACUGUUAGGCUCUCAUUAAUAACACUAUACACAGCACUACAUUAUCUACUGUCAUCCCAAACUCAGUUAUCUUUCUAAACAAAAGGGAAAAAUAGUGGAGUUUGACAGAUCAUCUUUUAAUAAUACAUUUCAGUAUUGUCAGAAUUAAGAUGAGAUACAGUGUCAAUCACACACUUUCACAUGUAGUGUGUAGAAAAGUAAUACAUUUGGGACAGAGGCUAUAGGACAUGGCAUGAGUUUUUACUUCAUGCCUUCACUGGAAAGAAGUAUUUCUGUCCAAAAAGUCUUUCUUUUGUACUUUGUUUUAGUGUAUUUUAGUAAUUUUAGGAGAUUCCUAAUUCUACACAGUGUAGUAACAUUUAAAUACAACGAUGACUUACAAUGUAAGUCGUCAUCAAUAAUCCUUAAACAGAUUUGUAAAAGAAAAAUAAAUUCACAACCAUGACUGUAACCCAGGUUUCAUAAGUCCCUCAUCAUAAUCCUGAUUUACUUCUUUACAAUGUUUCAUUUUGUGAUUAUUAAUCAUCAUUUACAGAUCAAAUCCAAAGAGAAGAGUGGGCGAGGCCAGGUGGAUGACUCCAAAGAGCUAAGGCAAAGAGAUGGUCAAAGUGCUAAAGUACAGGGCAACAGAUUGGCACUAAAGAGCUAAGAGGGCAGGGAAAUACCAGACCAGAGUGGGCAAAGAAAGGUGGGUGCCUUAGAAAGAAAAAUGGAUGGGGCCAGGUGGAUGUCUCCAGAAAGAUUGGCUCCUGAAAGCUAAGAGGCUGCAUCCAGAGGGAUAAAGGUAGUAGUAGGUGGAUGCCUUCAUAGAACUAAGAGGGCAGGGCCAAGUAGAUGGCUGAAGACAGCCAAGAGGGUGUUGGGAAAGAUGGAUGUCUCGAGAGAGGACAUCUUCAGAAAACUAAAGUGGUGGGGUCAAGACUGCUCCAGAGGAGUACAAGGGAUAGAGCUAAUCAUAACCAAUGAAAACAACUCAUGAAGAACUGGGUAUGUUUAUAGAAUUAUGUUAGAACAGAUUUGCAAUAUAAGGUUUUAAAAUAUACCAAACCUGGAUAUUGUGAGUGUAUCAGUGUGUGCUGUGUGUGUGUUCAUGUGUUCAGCACAUGGAAAAAAAAGGAUUCUAUAACAUUAUUGCUCUGGAUUUCAGUGUAGCAUUUAAAUGAUAUACAUUUAUAAAUAUUAUGGUCACUGCAUGUUGUACACCUUGUUCAUUCUACGUCUCCUCUACUGCAGUCUGUACAGGAAAUACACACUAGCUUUUCCAAAGCAGCGUGUUAAACGUCAUUCCUUAAAUACAAUCCUGAAACAGAUAAUGAUUCAAAUGAAUAAAUAUGCAACUAAAAUCAAA
Ictalurus punctatus (channel catfish) is the source of this 1822-nucleotide long non-coding RNA. The record is from Ensembl. NCBI's taxonomy places the organism in Eukaryota, Metazoa, Chordata, Actinopteri, Siluriformes, Ictaluridae.